GACGAACGCUGGCGGCGGGCUUAACACAUGCGAGUCGAACGGAAAGGCCCUGCUUUUGUGGGGUGCUCGAGUGGCGAACGGGUGAGUAACACGUGAGUAACCUGCCCUUGACUUUGGGAUAACUUCAGGAAACUGGGGCUAAUACCGGAUAGGAGCUCCUGCUGCAUGGUGGGGGUUGGAAAGUUUCGGCGGUUGGGGAUGGACUCGCGGCUUAUCAGCUUGUUGGUGGGGUAGUGGCUUACCAAGGCUUUGACGGGUAGCCGGCCUGAGAGGGUGACCGGCCACAUUGGGACUGAGAUACGGCCCAGACUCCUACGGGAGGCAGCAGUGGGGAAUAUUGCACAAUGGGCGGAAGCCUGAUGCAGCAACGCCGCGUGCGGGAUGACGGCCUUCGGGUUGUAAACCGCUUUCGCCUGUGACGAAGCGUGAGUGACGGUAAUGGGUAAAGAAGCACCGGCUAACUACGUG
RNAcentral lists this ribosomal RNA (468 nucleotides) under uncultured bacterium. RNAcentral's name for it is "partial 16S ribosomal RNA". It matches the Rfam family "Bacterial small subunit ribosomal RNA", at positions 28 to 507 of the family's 1533-position model. The record is from RNAcentral.